Molecule: ribosomal RNA, 505 nt
Filed under: Cladosporium sp. CT524
Lineage: Eukaryota; Fungi; Ascomycota; Dothideomycetes; Cladosporiales; Cladosporiaceae
Description: eukaryotic LSU rRNA
Rfam family: 5.8S ribosomal RNA (bases 150-303)
Source: RNAcentral
GUCUACCCACCGGGUAUGUUCAUUNACCCUUUUGUUGUCCCGAACUUCUGUUGCCUCCGGGGCGACCUUGCCCCGGGCGGGGGCUCCGGGUGGACACUUCAAACUCUUGCGUAACUUUGCAGUCUGAGUAAACUUAAUUAAUAAAUUAAAACUUUUAACAACGGAUCUCUUGGUUCUGGCAUCGAUGAAGAACGCAGCGAAAUGCGAUAAGUAAUGUGAAUUGCAGAAUUCAGUGAAUCAUCGAAUCUUUGAACGCACAUUGCGCCCCCUGGUAUUCCGGGGGGCAUGCCUGUUCGAGCGUCAUUUCACCACUCAAGCCUCGCUUGGUAUUGGGCAUCGCGGUCCGCCGCGUGCCUCAAAUCGACCGGCUGGGUCUUCUGUCCCCUAAGCGUUGUGGAAACUAUUCGCUAAAGGGUGUUCGGGAGGCUACGCCGUAAAACAACCCCAUUUCUAAGGUUGACCUCGGAUCAGGUAGGGAUACCCGCUGAACUUAAGCAUAUCAAAG